CUUCCAGAUAUGGUGAUGUGAUGGUGGGUGCCCUGCAGGUGAUCUUCUUCCAGAUGAUGGUGAUGGUGAAUGGUGGUUCCUGCAGGUGGAGGGCCGUAGGCCGGCGUUCAGCCGAUGGUGGUGGCUGCAGGUGGA
Long non-coding RNA from Melanotaenia boesemani (Boeseman's rainbowfish), 135 nucleotides. RefSeq lists it as uncharacterized. Lineage: Eukaryota; Metazoa; Chordata; Actinopteri; Atheriniformes; Melanotaeniidae. The transcript is spliced from 3 exons. The record is from RefSeq and is a predicted model, not a curated record.